Molecule: ribosomal RNA, 20 nt
Filed under: Trichomonas gallinae
Lineage: Eukaryota; Parabasalia; Trichomonadida; Trichomonadidae
Also listed under: 1 other name
Description: partial 18S ribosomal RNA
Source: RNAcentral
GAACCUGCCGUUGGAUCAGU